Molecule: ribosomal RNA, 778 nt
Filed under: uncultured Neocallimastigales
Lineage: Eukaryota; Fungi; Neocallimastigomycota; Neocallimastigomycetes; Neocallimastigales
Description: partial large subunit ribosomal RNA
Rfam family: Eukaryotic large subunit ribosomal RNA
Source: RNAcentral
UAGAUGCGAGAGUAGAGCAUAUCAAUAAGCGGAGGAAAAGAAACUAACAAGGACUCCCUUAGUAACGGCGAGUGAAGCGGGAAGAGCUCAAAUUUGAAAUCUUCAAGGGUUCUACCUUUACGAAUUGUAGUUUAUAAGAAGUGUUUUCUGUUGUGAGUUCGGCUAAAAGUUCUUUGGAAUAGGACAUCAUAGAGGGUGAGAAUCCCGUAUUUGGUACAUUCCUCCUAGCUGUUGUGAUACACUUUCAACGAGUCGGAUUGUUUGGGAAUGCAGUCCAAGAUGGGUGGUAAAUUUCAUCUAAAGCUAAAUAUUGGCGAGAGACCGAUAGCGAACAAGUACCGUGAGGGAAAGAUGAAAAGAACUUUGAAAAGAGAGUUAAACAGUACGUGAAAUUGUCAAAAGGGAAGCGUUUGACACCAGUGUUGUUUUUCCGAAAAUCAAUUACGAAUGUUUUAUUUUUGAGGAGUUAUGACUUCAUCGGCUUGCUCCUUUCUUUAUGAAACUUUCUUAAUGCACUUUUCGGUUAACAAGUCAACAUCAAUUUCUUUUGUUGUAAAAGGGUAUGAGGAAGGUGGCUUUACUUUCGGAGAAAGUGUUUAUAGCCUUGUGCCUCUGCAAUCGGAGAGAUUGAGGUCUGCAGCGUAGAUCCUUCGGGGUUAGAUACGUUUGUGCUAAGUUAUAGCUUUUCAUAGACAACUUGUUGACUAUGUUUAGUCUUGUAGCUUACUCGCUUACGCUAUUUUACCUACGCUUAGGAUGUUGACGAGACUGUCGAUCU